UUCGCAAUGCCCGAAAGGGUGACGAAGCGACGCCGCGUGCGGGAAGAAGGCCUUCGGGUUGUAAACCGCUGUCGGGAGUUAAGAAAUGCAAGGGUGUUAACAGCGUCCUUGCUUGACUAAAGCUCCAGAGGAAGCCACGGCUAACUCUGUGCUAGCAGCCGCGGUAAUACAGAGGCGGCAAGCGUUGUUCGGAAUUAUUGGGCGUAAAGAGCACGUAGGCGGCUCUGCAAGUCAGCUGUGAAAGCCUUCUGCUUAACGGAAGAACGGCAGUUGAAACUACAGGGCUUGAGUGCGGGAGGGGAGAGUGGAACUUCUGGUGGCGCGGUGAAAUGCGUAGAUAUCAGAAGGAACGCCGGCGGCGAAAGCGGCUCUCUGGUCCGUAACUGACGCUGAGUGUGCGAAAGCUAGGGGAGCAAACGGGAUUAGAUACCCCGGUAGUCCUAGCCGUAAACGAUGGGCACUAAGUAGAGGGGUUUU
Molecule: ribosomal RNA, 477 nt
Filed under: uncultured anaerobic ammonium-oxidizing bacterium
Lineage: Bacteria
Description: bacterial SSU rRNA
Rfam family: Bacterial small subunit ribosomal RNA
Source: RNAcentral